This 87-nucleotide ribosomal RNA is filed under the name uncultured bacterium. Its description in RNAcentral is "partial 16S ribosomal RNA". The record is from RNAcentral.
ACACCAUGGGAGUUGGUUUUACCUGAAGGCGGUGCGCUAACCCGCAAGGGAGGCAGCCGACCACGGUAGGAUCAGCGACGUGGGGUG